CGGAAAGAGAGGGAGGCA
RNAcentral lists this transfer RNA (18 nucleotides) under Aptychella brevinervis. RNAcentral describes it as "partial tRNA-Ser". Lineage: Eukaryota; Viridiplantae; Streptophyta; Bryopsida; Hypnales; Pylaisiadelphaceae. The record is from RNAcentral.